This is a long non-coding RNA of Stegodyphus dumicola, 982 nucleotides long. The record is from RefSeq and is a predicted model, not a curated record. NCBI's taxonomy places the organism in Eukaryota, Metazoa, Arthropoda, Arachnida, Araneae, Eresidae.
UCCUCCAGCACCAUCCGAAACCCACCCCCACAUUCAGCUAGAGACUCCCGCCAGAUCUGGUAACCAUGGCAACGCUGCAUGCGGUCGAUACGCAGAAGGGAGCUGCACCAUGUUCUUGAGCAUUGUGUGCCAUUCUGUGCUAGCCAAGCAUGGGAGGCAGUCGCGACUCGAGAUUAUUUUGGAUAUGCUCGCUGUAUUGUAUAUACGUUUAAUGCAACGAGGUGACUGCUGUGGCUAUUUUCGCGUCGCUACAAAAGCUGAAAUAAGCGGAAGUUUAUAAUGUCAUACACUUAACAACUUCCGUACAUGGGCUAAUUUCUCGUUUAUGCUCAUUUGAGGAAUUCCAGUGAGUAUUUAUCAGCAAGAACUGGUAUUGAAUCCCACGUGACUGCUGAAAUGAAAUCGCUGAAAACUCACAUGACAGCAUUUUAUAAUCGUCUUAAUUUAUGAAUAUCAUACUCAUGUGAAAUGCUGAAUGGAUACUAGUAUAAUAUUCAUGGAUGCCAAAAUAAGAUUUGAUUAAUUCUCUGAUUUGGAUGAAUGUGACGGCAGUAAAAUUUAGUAUCAAAUCAGCCUGAAUGGUCUUAUAAACUAAUCACUUACAUGCAUAUAUGAAACCUAGAAAUUCAUCAUGUUAUAACAAGCUUCCAUUUCUGCUCAAGGGAUUUUUGAUCUCAUUCAUAAAGCACUUAUGUACAUAAAGUAAAAAACAUGUACACUAAGCUUUUUUAUUACAACAUUUUCAGAAUUCUUCUCUUAUACUUCUAUACUUGUAGACUCUUAAAAUAUUACUGCAGCUCUAAUUUGAGUAAGAAUAAAUAUAUCAGCCUUAUUGGAACGUUGAAAUAUGUCAGCUGAAAUAUGUUUUUUUUCUUUCUAUUCUAAAAAAAUAUGUACUGACAAAUUAAAUAUAUGGUAUCAAUGACUUUACUAAUUUGCUUACGUAGAAUGAAAGAUUUUCAAUAUAGACUGAAAAAAAAAA